GGAAGCGUGCCCGACUGUUUAAGGAUUACUUUGAUAGAGUAAACUACAGAGGUUAAAGCCCUCUCACUUCC
RNAcentral lists this transfer RNA (71 nucleotides) under Enyalioides heterolepis. Its description in RNAcentral is "tRNA-Ile". Lineage: Eukaryota; Metazoa; Chordata; Lepidosauria; Squamata; Hoplocercidae. The record is from RNAcentral.